RNAcentral lists this ribosomal RNA (387 nucleotides) under uncultured bacterium. RNAcentral describes it as "bacterial SSU rRNA". It matches the Rfam family "Bacterial small subunit ribosomal RNA", at positions 975 to 1363 of the family's 1533-position model. The record is from RNAcentral.
CUGGGCUUGACAUAUNCCGGAUCGGCGCAGAGAUGCGUUUUCCCUUGUGGUCGGUAUACAGGUGGUGCAUGGUUGUCGUCAGCUCGUGUCGUGAGAUGUUGGGUUAAGUCCCGCAACGAGCGCAACCCUUGUCUUGUGUUGCCAGCACGUUAUGGUGGGGACUCGCGAGAGACUGCCGGGGUUAACUCGGAGGAAGGUGGGGAUGACGUCAAAUCAUCAUGCCCCUUAUGUCCAGGGCUUCACACAUGCUACAAUGGUCGGUACAGUGGGUUGCUACACCGUGAGGUGGUGCUAAUCCCUUAAAGCCGGUCUCAGUUCGGAUUGGAGUCUGCAACUCGACUCCAUGAAGUCGGAGUCGCUAGUAAUCGCAGAUCAGNACCGNGCGAG